Molecule: transfer RNA, 74 nt
Filed under: Bacteroidia bacterium
Lineage: Bacteria; Pseudomonadati; Bacteroidota; Bacteroidia
Also listed under: 2 other names
Description: tRNA-Arg
Rfam family: tRNA
About the family: Transfer RNA (tRNA) molecules are approximately 80 nucleotides in length. Their secondary structure includes four short double-helical elements and three loops (D, anti-codon, and T loops).
Source: RNAcentral
GGUCCCAUAGCUCAGCUGGAUAGAGCACAGGUUUUCUAAACCUGCGGCCCUUGGUUCGAAUCCAAGUGGGACUA